UACGUAGGGGGCAAGCGUUGUCCGGAUUUAUUGGGCGUAAAGAGCGUGUAGGCGGUUUGGUAGGUCCGUUGUGAAAACUCGAGGCUCAACCUCGAGACGCCGGCGGAAACCAUCAGGCUAGAGUCCGGAAGAGGAGAGUGGAAUUCCUGGUGUAGCGGUGAAAUGCGCAGAUAUCAGGAGGAACACCGGUGGCGAAGGCGGGUCUCUGGGCCGAUACUGACGCUGAGGAACGAAAGCGUGGGGAGCGAACAGG
RNAcentral lists this ribosomal RNA (253 nucleotides) under uncultured bacterium. RNAcentral describes it as "partial 16S ribosomal RNA". It matches the Rfam family "Bacterial small subunit ribosomal RNA", at positions 524 to 776 of the family's 1533-position model. The record is from RNAcentral.